Molecule: long non-coding RNA, 366 nt
Organism: Monopterus albus (swamp eel)
Lineage: Eukaryota; Metazoa; Chordata; Actinopteri; Synbranchiformes; Synbranchidae
Exons: 2
Source: RefSeq, a predicted model, not a curated record
GUUGGAAUAGACCUAAUUGGAAAGUUGGUCAAAUCCAACCAGCAAAAUCAAUACAUUUGUGUGCUUAUUGAUUAUUGCACAAAGUGGGCCCAGGCAUAUCCCCUGAAAACAAAAACAGCUGCACAAGUGACACAAGCAAUACUGAAAUUUGUCUACCAAUUUGAAGUGCCCAAAAGAAUUCUAACAGAUCAAGGCAGAGAAUUUGUUAAUAGUGUGAACACUGAAGUCUGCAAAAUCCUGGGAAUAAAAAGAAGCCUUUGUGCACCAUACCACCUGCGGUCAAACGGUUUGGUGGAGAGCCUCAAUGGAACUAUACAGAGGUGAAACAUGGAUCCACCACAGCACAUAUGCAUACUUUGUUUUAAA